UUCACUGUAGUAAUUUAUUUUAUUUUUUAAUAAUGAAAGUCUUCAUAAAUUUGACAUAUGACUUUUGGCUACUUCACUUAAGAGUGAGUGUGUAUGUUGCAGAUUCAUGUGUGUGGUUUGCAUUUUUUUGAGGUUUUGGUUUGUUCUUAUUUUUCUUAUUUCACAUUUAUGUUUUUAAAGUUAUUCCUUCUUUAUUUUUUUAAUCACAGCAAUCCUCCCCUCAUCCAUGGUUUCAUUUUCUAUGGUUCCAGUUACUCAUGGUCAACCAUGGUCAGAAAACAGGACAAACUGAGAGUAAAAGAUGCAGGAAUAAAACACAGAAAUCAAAAUAAAGGGUUUACUGCUGAAAAAUCCGCUUGAACAAGCCUGUUAAUGUGAUCUUCCUGAAUGAAGCCAGCUUACCCCUAGGCCUCCACUGUCCCUCAGGAAAGAGAACACGAAAACUGGAACUCUCUGCAGAAAGGAGGAUCCCAAAGAAGGGGCCAAGCUGUACAUUUAUCAAUCAGGAAAGCCACUCCACCCUCCAUGGCAGCCCCUACAAUUUGAAACAAGUAUUCUUCCUAACAUAACACAUUAAUUCAUGAGUUUAUCAGUUCAUUUCAUUUUUACUUUGAGAUUUUUGUGAAUAACCAUAGAAAAAUCUAUUUCACCUGGCAAUAAAUAGGAAAAGGCACAGCAUAAUGUUUAAAUACAGAGAAUAUUGUUACAUGUAAGAUGUUGAUUGAAUGUUCUAAAUACAAUUUGAAAACUGCGUGAGAGGAGGAAAACGUAUAUUCAGAAGGACUUAGGUGAAUCCAGAUGAAUAUUUUCAUGACAGGAUGUUGGCUAUUGAUAUGAAGAAAGUAGAGGAAUAGACUUGCUAAAAGUUAGAGGAGUCUAGUUUAUCUUCCAAGAAGCUUUGCAACCCUGUAAUACUGUAGAAAUCACAAAUUUGGCAAUAAUUUUAAGAUAAUUUAUGUUCAUUUUUUAUGGAAUGCCAUGUUUAUCUUUUUAUAUAUGACAUUUUCUGGUCAGUAGUAAUAUAUAUAUCCUUUAUUAAAAUUGGAAAAUAAAUACAAACAUUUUAUUUAUUUAUUGGUUAAAAAAUUAUUAUGCUCAUUCUUUUUUUUUUUAACCAGUAAGGAUCUGGAUAAAGAAAAACAUUUUAGAAAACCACUUGUAGAGUACCAUGAACCAGUCUCUCUUCUCCAUUUUAAAAAAUUUAUUGACUCACUUUUUUUCCAUAACUUUUUGAGAUAUUAUUUCAACCACUUUGCAUUUAGAGAAAAAGAGUCAGAGAGUGAUUAAGAAAUCUGCCCAAUGCUAUACUGAUAGAAGCUGGGAGAACUGGGAUUUGAGCUUACAUAGGCUAGUUCUAGCAUUUGUGAAGUUCUCGCCUAAUAAAAAUUAUCUGUAAUCAUAACCAGAGCAAGUCAUUUCUAACCUCCUGUCUAUAGACACGCGGAUACAUUUGUAAUGUUUUUGUUUGUUUGUUUUUAGCACGACAGAUCAAUUCCUGCUGGCAUUAUAGUUCUUUAACUAUCAUAGCUUCUCUGAUUUUUCAACACAUCUGUCAUCCGUAUUCUGCAGGCAUAGCCAACUCUGUCAGUGUCUCCUCAGGCAAUCAGAAUCAACAGACAGAAUGUAGGACAGAAAACUGGCUGCAAACAUGUUGGAAGGGCUGGAGGAGCGAAAGAGGGAAGAUCUGUUACCUAGAGAUAGUAACUUCCAGAAGUUACCACUAUACUAGUGCAGGAGAAGCAGAAAGGAAGAUGCUGCUACCCAGAGCCCACAGUCAUUGUGCCCCUGAUGCCGCUGGAACCCCACUGCAGCUGCUUUACAGGAAGCAGGGAAUUAGCGCUCUUGCUGAUGCUACAGGUAUCCAGGAUCCAAAAGUCAUCAGCCGCUGUCCCUGUUGCAGCCUAGGGAAACUGUCCCACUGAGGUUGUUGGGGUACCUGCUACUGCAUCUACUGUCUGAACCAUGUUGCCUGAGCAGAUGUCCAGGGCUCAGGCUUGCCUGCUGCUGUUACUGCUGCCACCAUGUUUAUCAGAGCUACUUCAAGAAGAGAAGAAAUCCUCCUCAUUUCCAGUUUUUUCCAGUGCCUCCCAUUGCUUCCCAGAAUGCCAAAUUCUCUUUGAGAGACAGCUGAAAGGAAGGUUUGGAAAAGACUCUGGUGUAAGCAGAUUCUGCUUCCCUGCAAUAGGGGGAAAGCAUAGGGUGGAACUGGAGCUGAGAGCUAAUCACGAAUGAGCAAAUCAGUCUUCAAGACAUUUACCUUUCCUUGAAACGUUUCCCUUCUUUUACCGUGUUUUCCAUGUCAUUAUUUUUCCACAAUUCUGCAUCAUAUUCUGUUAACUAUUAAUGCCCUGGAUAAGUUUAUUUGCUCUUUCUUAGGGUUAAUUUUUCUCCUUUUCUUCGAAGCUUUAGUUUGCAGGUUCAGCUUGUGUGGGAAUUUUCAUCUCCCUCCUCUUCAAGACUCCUUGGAUAUCAGUUUUUUGGUUGCCUUCACCAACUCUCCCCCCACCAUCUCUAGACCAGGGCAUGGUCUUAGUUGGUGGCUUGGACUCCUGUGGCUUGGAGUCUUUGGGGAUAUUAGAGAUCCAGUCACUGAGCUGGCAAAGGGAACACUGUCCUUGCUUCCAGCUUUAUGAAGAACGCUUUGCUCUGUCACCCCACGUGAGUCCAACUCUUGGCUGCCUACACUGCCUGAGGCUUCAGUUCUGGCAUCGUGCUGCAUGUGAUCUAUUAUCCUGCUUUUGAAUAUGCCUAUGACUUUUCUUUAUAUAUUUUUAAAAAUGUUAUUAUUGGUAUGUUUACAGUGAAGGGAAGAAUGUGAAGCAUGAACUCAAGAGUCACAGUAAUGAUAAAUUUUAAUGAUUGUAAUUGUCCUAUCUGUCAUAAUACAUUUAUUUUGUUGAUUUGUUUGGAUUUUCUAGGUAAAUAAUCAUGUUAUUCAAGGAUAAUGAAUGCAGCCACCAUGUAAUCAUCACUGACUCCAUGGCCAUGAGAAAAGAGACCUAAGAAAUGAUGCCCAUCCAGAAGAGUGAAGACUUCCUGAAAAUGUUCUUUUAACCUAAGAUGUAGGUUAAGAGGAGUGAAAAAAUGUUCUGUUUCUGACUGAUGAUGGAGCAACAAAGGUAUGUUUCUUAUUAAUAACACUGAGCAGUUAGGAAGCAGAUGUGCCUCUCCAGGGAAACUCACAAGUGUCCACUGACCUAGUAUCUGCGGAGAACCAUAGCAGUUGUGGUCUCUCUCCCCAGCUUCAAGCAAGGGCAACUUUUCCCUGUGUCUGGUUCUUUUGCUGUCACCUGAAGCCACAGAAAAUGAUCUGAACCUGCUCAGUCCCUGGACAUAUCUGGGGAAUACAAAGUCUCAGAGUCGCUCUCUAAGAAUUGCCAGCAUGUUCUAGAGAUUCUUUAGAUGCAUAGCUGCAUGGAGCAAAACAGGGUCAGGGGAUGUGUGCCGAGGCCAAGGUCUUCUCUUAUGUUUCAAAAAUAUUAACAUUUCAGGCCUGUCUUCUUUUAAAGGAUAGCUCAUGUAUAUGAUUUUUUAAAAAAAAAUCUACCAAAUCAAAUAAAGAAGUCCUGGGAGUUCACCCGGUGUUUUCUACAGAACCAAGGUAUUCAUAUUGAGAUCCUUCAAUAUAAUCAGCUAUGUGACCUUGGUUAAGUUAAUUAAUGCCUCUGAAACUGAGGUUCCUCAUCUGUGAAAUGGAGAUAUUCAACAAAGCACCCUGUGGGGAUUAGAUGAGAUUGCACAUCUGACUGCCUAGAGUAUAGUAAGGGGUCACUGUUUCCUCUUCACUCCUCAGGAAAAUUUGAUUGAACAAGGAUAGAAACUUUGAUUCUAGGGACAGAAGGUCUUCAGAAGUCUUUGAGGCCAGAGGGCCUGUCAUAGAACUGCAGUGUAGGUUCAUUAAAACGCUGUCAUCCUAAUGUUUAUCCACAGUAUCUAAUAGAUUUAAAAGGAAGACAAUAUGGCACAGACUAUUUCGGAAACCUAUGCCCAUUCUGCCAAGAGGAUAUCGCUAUUGGUGGUCAGACUAUUUCACUUAUAAGGUUUCUUUUUUCCUUAAGUCAUAAAGAUUAACAUUUACUAAAAAUUUGAGGGUCCAUUAAUGGACUCCCACAUGGCUUUCCUCUUUCCUUUGAGCUGGAUUCAUUUUCACUGAGUCCCGAGUCCUGCACAUCUGACAAUUGCUUCAGACCUUGGACAUGCUUGAAUUAUUUUAUGCAAAUCAUUUGAAAAGGCAAAGUACCACUGUUCUUUCUUGAGUUUCUUCGUAAACUGGUUUCUAAUUUAUCUGCUGCUUUUUCUCGAUCCAAUUUGUGCCUAUGUCUUACUAUAGAUUCUUUGGAAAUAAAGAAAUAAAGAAUAUAUCUGUAGCUAUUUUGUUAAACUAAGAAUGUUUUAAAAUAUUUUAUUGUAAAA
RNAcentral lists this long non-coding RNA (4413 nucleotides) under Homo sapiens (human). RNAcentral's name for it is "HSALNT0009897". The record is from RNAcentral. Lineage: Eukaryota; Metazoa; Chordata; Mammalia; Primates; Hominidae.